Molecule: long non-coding RNA, 4355 nt
Organism: Orcinus orca (killer whale)
Lineage: Eukaryota; Metazoa; Chordata; Mammalia; Artiodactyla; Delphinidae
Exons: 8
Source: RefSeq, a predicted model, not a curated record
CAGGACUGUGAUCCAGCGGACUGAAAAACAACAUGCCGUACUCCAAAGAGAAGAAGGAAACCCAACUACUAGCGUGCCUUCCCCUUUCAUGAAAAAAUCCACAAGAUGCUGGAAGCAAAGCAGCCAUCCUGGGACCCCAAGGGUGACAAGAACAUGCUAAAGAUGAUUGGGUGGAAAGAGACAAGGAAGCCAUUUCUCCACUGGCAUCAUGGAGCCACUGUACCCAUCCUGGAUUUCUGACGUCUGGACUUUUAUUGGAUUGCAUUCUUACCCAAAUACUCCUUCGUGAUUGCCUGUUUUGCGGCUUUGGGAUUCUUCAGGGAGUAGAGAACAUUCACAUGGAUGACAUCCCAGUUUUCUCAUCAUGUUUUGUCCAGCUUUUCAUUCACUGACAACGAACUCAAAAAUCUAAAAUUGGAUAUUUUGAGGUUAUUCUUUUGGCAAAUAGAGAACUCAUAUUCCUCAAAAGGACCUUCUUUUCUUGGGUUGAGAUAUUAGUGACAACUCCAUGUAGGAAAACGCAUUUACCACCUGAGGAAAUUAUUCUUGGUUUACUUUUAGCAUUACAAAGAAAUGAGGACCACAGACUUCUACCUUCAAAUUGGAAAUAGCAAUCUUAUCAAACAGAUACCGACAGCAGAGCAUCUGUAAAGUUUCUGGAUGCUGCUUCACGUUGGCUGGCUUCCUUCUAAAUCAUCUUGGUCUUUGGACAUAAUCAAGAGCACAGGUGAUGGAGUGUCCCAUUUGGCUAUUAUUUUUCAAAAAGGGGAAUAAACGGAAAAUUCUCUGUGUGAGGAUCGUCACUGCCAUGACUGUGCAUCAGGAAACUGAAUGCAGUUGUUCAUUCCUGGCAGAUCUGAAGGCAGAAGCCAGUUUCCCGUUCUGUGUCCUCUCCACUCGCCAUAUCGUCAUGGCAAGGGCCUGCAGUGGAGAGAGGUCCAGGCAUAGCGGCAGCCGACAUCUCGGCCUUCCACCCGUGACUGCAGGUUCUAUCACGUGGACCAGUCACUUCGAUUCCCAAGCCUCAGCUGUCUUGGCACCAUUACGCCAGCUGAAACACCAUGGCUGCAUCAAAGCAGGGACGUGGUCCAGGUGGCCUUGUGAUGUCCCACCCAACUCAAUUCUAUGACUCCCUUUACUUGUUUUACUGUGAGAACAUUGUAACUUCUCCUCCCAAGCGUAAUGCCUUUAAAAUCUAGCCCUCAAAUAAAGAAAAGUCUGCCACAGACUUUCUUCUGGAUUUCUUUGCCUUCAGCUGUGGCACUGAAAAGCUUCUUGAAGAGAAACUUUUCUCUCCUCCCAUACAAGGCUAUAGUAAUCUUCCUAAAUGCCAUUUGGAUCACUUUACUUCCGUGUGUAAAAUCCUUCAAUUGCUCUUCUUUGUGUGGGGGGUGAUAGAGCAGUAUGUGCAUGGCAUUCCUACCCUUCAUGUGGGCCCCUGGGGUCCACUGCUCCACGGGUACCCUGGGCUCUGGCCCUAACAAGCUGGACAAUUCCCCUCCUUUGCCAUCUCCUCUCUCCUCCAUGCCCUGCUUUUGGAUGGAUUCUUUCCUCUGAAGUUAACGUGCUUCUUCGCUUUCUCUGCUUGGCUAAAUCCUUCUCCUCCUAUACAUUAAACUCAGGCACCUUGUCCUCUGGGAAGUCUUCCUGAACCUCAGAGGGGGACAAGAUGGCCCUCGUCUGUGCCAUCUGACCCUCCUUGCUUCCCCUUGCAGGGAAGGCCAUUCUGCGUUGUACCUGCUUUUUGGUGUCCCUAUUGCCCACUGGUCUGGAAGCUUCUGAAGACAGGGACUGGAUCUUGCAUUUUGGCAACUCCUGCACCCAGCCCAGAGUCUGGUUACGGUAACAGGGUCAGUAAACGUUUGAAGCCUCAAUUUGACAAGAUCUUCCUCGUGAUAACUAGGGACACUAUAAACCUGGAGGAGAUUAUAAUUAGGUAUGUAUAGCUGGUGGAAAACUGUUCCCAAAGAAUUUAGAGAGGACAGACCUAAAUCAGACAAUAAAUGUGUGAUGACUUAUAAGAAUUAGAAAGGGUGGGAGGUAAGAUGCAGAGAUUACUGAACGUGGGAAGGAUUCCUUCAACAGGUAACACACCCAAAUGAUUCAGCUUUGAAACUGAUGAGGUGUAAAAUUCUGCUUUUUGGUCUAACAGGUCAUUAAACUAAUACAAAUUGUGGGAGGAGAACUUGUCUGGAAGUGACCCCAAAUGAACCAAGACUGUGAUAGGAACUGCCCACAAUUUUAUUAUUAUUAUUUUUAAAAUAAAUUUAUUUAUUUAAUUUAUUUUAUUUUUGGCUGCGUUCGGUCUUCGUUGCUGCGCAUGGGCUUUCUCUAGUUGCAGCGAGCGGGGGCUACUCUUUGUUGCGGUGCACAGGCUUCUCAUCGCGGUGGCUUCUCUUGUUGUGGAGCAUGGGCUCUAGGUGCGCAGGCUUCAGUAGUUGUGGCAUGCAGGCUCAGUAGUUGUGGCGCACGGGCUUAGUUGCUCUGUGGCAUGUGAGAUCUUCCCGGACCAGGCUCGGACCCAUGGUCCCUGCAUUGGCAGGCUGAUUCUUAACCACUGCACCACCAGGGAAGCCCCUAUUAUUAUUAUUAUUAUCAUUGGCCACUGUGUAUUGAGCACCUACUAUCUAUGGGGCAUUUUCAUCAGAUGCUUUAAAUUCAUAACCUCAUUUAUUAAACCCCACAGCAUCUCUAUGAUGUAGGUAACAUUAGCCCAUUUUGUGAACAAGGAGACUGAGAUCAAAAGGGAGAUUGAGGUCACACAGCUUGGAAGAGACAGCACCGAUGGGGUGACCCCCAAAGGCCACGGAUUAAAGGAGGGGCAGUCUCACUUAAUCUGCACUAUCUCAUGAAGGGGGAAAGGUUGGUUCCAUUCUGAGAGCCCAUUUGAAAAUGGUCAUAGACCAAGUAGAGCACAUUCCCAGUGGGGAGGCUGAUGAGGAUUUAGAGGUGACAAUCACACCCUUGUCUUCUCAGAUUUCAGAUUCACCUGAGAAACACACAAAGAAGUCAGGUAGAUAGAAAUCCAAAUGUCAGCUUUUUCGGAAAGAACUUGAACUGUGGUUAAACAGACAUGUGAAUCCGGUCCCCCAACCCAAACACUAAGUGUAGCUGCCAGAACCACAGGCCUCUGCCUAGAAGGGGUUAAGCCUGCCGGGUAAGCUCAGCACAGGCAGGGAGAAGGUCAUACUCUGCAGGCAGGUGGGUCUGCUACCAACCCUGUGUGUACUCAGCCAGGAACGCUCAGCAACGUUUCCUAGAUUAAACAAUCAGGCUGCCAGCCAAUGUGACUCUAAUUCUUCUCAGAGAAACAUAAAACCAGGGAAUGAAGUCCUUGUCCCUAGCAGUGGCUCGAAUUCUAACUGACGUAUCAAUGAAACCAAAGGGUGAAAUGAUGUGAUGGUUAAUUUUAUGCAUCACCUUGGCUGGACAGUGGUGCCCAGUCAUUUGGUCAAAUACCAGUCUAGAUGUUGCUGUGAAGGUAUUUUUUAGAUGUGAUUAAAAUUUAAAUCAGCAGACUCUGAGUAAAGUCAAUUACCUCCAGAAUAUGGGUGGGCCUCAUCCAAUCAGUUGAAGGCCUUAAGAGCAAAGACUGAGGUCUCCUGAAGAAGAAAUUCACCUCAAAGCUGCAAUACCAACUCUUUCCUGAAUUUCCAGCCUGCCUUACAGACUGCAGCCUCUCUGGUUCCCACAACUGCAUGACCCAAUUCUUUCUCUCUCUUCCUCCCUCUCCCCCCCACCCCACCUCUCUCUCUCUCUCUCUCUCCCGCCCCACAGUGUGUGUGUGUGUGUGUGUGUGUGUGUGUGUGUGUGUGUGUGUGUGUGUGUGUGUGUGUGUAUUUUACUGGUUCUGUUUCUCUGGAGAACCCUGCUAAUACAGUGUUGAAUCUGCUGAAAGGUUAAAGUGAUGGCCAUGAAAGCCAUGUUCAAGUUUUUGAUGGGUUCCCAUAGGAUAAGGUAUUGGGUUUAUUCAACGUGUCCCAUCAGUGUGGAUUAUCUGAGAUGCCUGAGCAUCUGAAACGGUUUAAAUAGUGCCUGAUGGCCCUUGUCAGUGGUGCUAUAGAAAAGAUGCUCAUAUUAUGAAAAAGCUAAAUCAGAUGGCUGGCUGCUAGGGGUACUUCAAACUAUUUUGAGGGCAGUGACAUUACCUUAUGCUUCUGUUAAAUAAUUAUAAUGCAAAUUUCUCCCCAUUUUAACAUUUGUGAGGUUCUCUUAUGUCUGUUAAUUUACUAGUUUUCCCAUAGUGCCUAGCACAUAACUAGGCAAUUAUGGAAUUGAGUCGAGACGGUAAUAAUGGCAAAUUAAGAACCAACUUUCAACUUUAACCUGUAUUUCUCUAUUUUCUUCACCAUGCU